CGUCAUGUGGUCAUUAUCUAGUAUAUGUGAAAAGAUAGAGAAUUAAGCGUUUUAGUUUAAUGAAGAUCAAAUUAAAGACUCUUGUAGCGAUCACAUCUUGUGGUCGCCAAACUAAAAUAGAAAUCGAGAUAAAGUCCCUCUUCUCCCCAAUUUCAGAUACAAGAAAAAACCUAAUUUCAGAGACAAAGUUCCUUGCUUCCUUACCAUCGGUGACUGCUUAGCCAUUCCGAUUCCUUCUUUCGUCGCUCAAGUUCAUAAGUCUCUUUCUCUCUCAAGUUUUUGUUGUUUCUCUCUCUAUAUCUCUCUCUUUUCUCUCUUAAUUUUAUAUGUAUCAAUGUUACUCCAAUGGCAGAUUCAAGCUCCAUUCUUUAUCUUCCCCACACACACAUUGCUAUUAAAAAGAACUCCUCCUUCUCUCAGCAAGACAAGGUCAGCAACCAUGAACUCUCCCUCAUACAGUUUCGUUAAUUUUUUUUUUAAAUUUAUGGGUUGGGUUUAAUUGUUAGUUUUAAUUAAUUUGCUUUCAUAUGGGCAAGCAUUAGUUUUUGAGUCUAAAUGUUGAGUUUGAAGUUAUGGAUAUGCAAUAGCUUUUUUUGAGUGUAAUUGAUUUUUUACUGCUGUUCAUAGUUAAUUUUUAUUGUUAAUUUGUUAGGUUUUGAAAUUGGAUUUUGGUGUUGUUAAUUUGGUGCUUUGUUUAUCCCAUAUUUCUUUUCUUAGUUUAUAAUGUAUAACAAAACACCAAUAUUAUUUCAAUUUGACUCUUGUAUGCCUAAUUUCAUGUAGUUAAUUUAGUGUUGAGAUUAAUAGUAUUAUCUGUAGAUGUUUUAGUUUUAAUAGUUGAACUAUUUUUCCAAACUGUUUUCAAGAACAAAUCAUUUGCAUAUUUAUUCUUUUAACAAGUUUUGUUUAUUUUUCUAAUUAUUUGUUAUUUGAAAACUAGUUUAUAGAAAUAGGUUGAGAAAGAUUUUGCAAGUUGUUGAUAAAAUCAAUAAUUGAUAAGAAAUGCUCUGAGUAGGAGAUAACAACUUUAUUCAAGUCAUGCAAUAAUGUUGUAUGUGUAUAUGAACAUGCAUACUCGGAGGAAGUAUAGAUAAAUAUGUUUGUCUGUGUGUAAGUUGAGAGAGAGAAUUAAGAGUCAGAAAAUAAGUCAUUGCAUUUUUAUUGAAUUUGGACUGGUUUAUCCAUGUUGCAUGAUGAAUUUAAUAAGACAUAAAUAGAACAAAUAUGGAAAUAAAAAGAAGAAAAGACAAACCAAAUAACCAAAUGCAGCAAAAUCAAUUAUUUUUCAAAGGGCCUAGUGUUGAUAGAGAUAAUUGUCCACAACAUUGGAAAGAUGGAAUUCUAAAGGAAUCAAGAUCUUCACUAGAUACAUACAAAAAUUGCAUUCUUUGAAUGUUUAGAGUCUUCAAAAGUAGACUUAGUACAGAGAACACGUAGAUACCCAAGAGCUAGACUAGACAACCUCUUUUUGGCUGCAAUGAAUUAGUGCAAUAGCAUAGUAAAAUGGGACUAUGUUUUGUAACUUCAUAGGUUCCUCAAACUUGUCAUUCAGUAAAUACAUGCAUGCACUGUGCUAUAUAUUUAUAUUGGGAAUUCAAUUUGUUUUUUAUGCAUUUUCACAUAUUAAACCUUUAUGGAUUAGUGAUGUCAAAUUAAGAUGAGAAAGAUGAAAAUCUUCAAGCUCUACGAAUUGGUGGCAGUAUCUGAACUUAUCAUCAGAGAACGAAAGAGAUUCCGCCCCCGACCUCGUGGAAAAGAUAAGUACUGGACUAGUAAGAGGGGACCUUGCAAAACAAAAUUCCUCCAUUGUCCGAUCAAGGCUCUUAUCUUUUCUUUCUUUAUAGGCAGCAUAUAAACGAAUGUUUAAAUGGAAAUAUAUAUGAAAGGAAAUCUGAUGCGCGCUAUCCGCAGACAAGUGCACCGAUCGUAUCAAGUAAUAUAAUAAUAAACAAGAGUAACAUUCUACUAGGAACCUAAUUGUGAGUACUACCUUCAAUCAUACACUAAUGUUUAGAAAUUAAAAUAUUGUUUGGGUGUAAGAAUAUUUACAAGUAAAACAAUCUUAAAUAUAAAGAUUAAAACAAUUAGUAACUUAUUAAGGAUAAAGCCUAUUUAGGUAGUAAAUUCUCCUAAUAAGUUAAAUAUUUUAUGAAACAAAUAACAAUUAAUUCAAAUCAAGAGUUGAGUUGGUAUUCUACAAAAUUAUUUAAACCUUUCUCAAGUGAUUAAACCCCUAAUUCCUAAGAAGAGGUAAUGAAUCUCUUCUCAAACCCACUCAUUUAGGUUAUGCAUUAAUAUUAAGGAACUAUUUAACUAAAGGAUCUUGUAGAUCUAUCUCUAGUAUCCCAGUCAAUCCUCAAUCUCUAAGAUGUGAUCGAUUCAUAAAAAGUUAUCUCUAAUCAGUUUAUGAAAACAAAUCCCAAUCAAUACAUCGAAUUAUAAUUGAAAUAUAUAAUUAAGCAAUCAAAGAAAAAACACAACUCAUAAAAAAAUCAAUUGCAUUAACUUUAAAUCAAUCAGUACAAAAUUAAUUAGGGUUCAUUAAACCCAAAUAGCAAGAAAAUUAGUUUCUAGACAUGACGAUAAAGAUUAGGGAAAAAAGAUCUCAAACCAGUCAUGGAAGAGUAUAAAUGAAAAUUUUCAAUCUUGAAUCCUCAAUCUUCAAAAGCAAUGAAGGAAAUGAUGUUCUUCCUUGAGAAAAUAGUAAUUAAAACCCUAAAAUUGAAAGAAAGAUGAAAUUUCUAAGUGUUUCUCUCUCUAGAAGUGAAAAUAUGAUGAAACUUCCUCAAAACAAUCCUAAAAGUUCCUUUAGAUAGUGUAUUUUUAUUAUUGACACGGGGACCACAUGGGCACCACACGGCCGUGUGACGUCCUUAGCUUUUCGUAGCUUGAAUAUGUGUUUCUGUCUGUUUUUUACUUUACGAGCUAUUUUAUGGCAUCUUCGAAAUCGAGUUGAGGCUUAUGUCCUUCAUCAAAGUUGUAUAUUUUGAAAAGUAGUUCAUUUUAUAAUUUUGAAUCACCUCAAUUAGAUCUCUCUAACUCUAGAUAAAUUCCAAACACCAAGACCGACUCAAAUAGAAACGGACUGCACAACAUCUAACUUCGAUCUAAUUUUUCUCAUCUUUAGAAACCUAAUAUGGAGUUGACCCAUUCAUAAGAAUUAUAUCUUAGGAUGUCCUCUACAAAGUUUAUGAAGAGCACUGUUCAAUUAUGGACCUGUAAGAUUAUGAAAAACUGGAUUGAAGCUAAUGCGAUCAAAUCUGCAUAAUGCUGAAAUUCGCUUGUCAGUCUGACACUGGAAGCACAUGCCCGUGUGGGCUUCCUGUGUGGACCUUUAUGUAAUCUGCCAUUUUUUACAACUCAUAUGGGAAGACCACCUGCCUGUAUAGCUUCCCGUGUUAGAUAGAAUUUUGGAUAAAUAUGCCUUUUCUUUGCCUGAUUCUCAUGCUUUUUAAUUCCAUUUGACUCCUUGACAUGUAUUAUCCUUAAAGUGCCUAAAGGAACUGAAAAUCAAGUUUGAACAAAUAAAUCAAACUCAAUUGAAGGUAAAAUUAAUUAAAAUAAAGCUCAAAAGUAAGUGUCUUUAGCACUCAUCAAAAUCUUAAAUUUAAUGUCAAUUUCUUUUCGUUCUCUGUGUAUCUCUUAUUGGAAAGGAACUAUUAAGAAGAUUAUUGUUGAGGUCUACAUUUUUCAAAACUUUCAAGUUAGUUGGAUUUGUAAUAAAAUAAAUAUGAAUAUAAGUAAACUGAGUGAAAAUUGAUAAAAUUUAAAUUUCAUAAAAUAGAUAAUUAAUACAGCAAAUGUACGUACCGUCUUGAAAGGCUUCUUGCAUCAAAUUAAGACUAAGAUCUAGAAUUUUAUGGGAUGUGACUACCCCCAAUGAUUGUAGAAUACUACUCUCCGUGAACUGGUUUCUAGUAAGUUUCAAUGUCUUCAACUUCUGAAAUUUUGAUAAACAUUAAAAAUGAAGUAAUACAAUCAGUAAUUAUUUGCAGUAAUUAACCAGGAAACUACAUCAUUACAUUAAUAUUUCUUUAUUUUAAGUACCUUCUGUACUUAUAGAGCCAUUGAAGUUGUUAAAGCUUAAAUCUAAAAGUGUCAGGUUUUUUUAUGGUUGCCAGUUCUGUAUUCAUCACCAAGAAAUGAAAAUUCAUGGCAAGGAACUCAAUAAUCUUAAAUUGUUUACAUAACAUCAUAAAAAUAAAAUUAAUUUUUUAAUUUUAAAAAAUUUAUAUUUAGAAAAUAAUAAAAUAAAAUAUAAAAAUCAUAAUUUAUACUCCGUAAAGCUAUACCAAAUGGCAGUGGUAUAUCUACGAGUUAUCAAAAUCAGUACUAAAUGAACAAUGUAAAUGUAAAAGCACAAUUUGAAAGAAUAUAAUACCUUCAACUGGAAAGGUUGCUUGAAAUUUAUUGCCAACAAGACUCAAACUCUCAAAUUUGCGAAAACCCUUGGAAAUAUUAACAAAUUGAACUUUUAAAAAAUUAACAAAUAUGGGAAACAUAUGGUGAUGAUUUUAUGCUCCACAUGCAUAUUUUGCUUUUAUAGUUUUAGUCCUUCAAAUCUAUUUGUAUUUUUAUUAGGUCCUUGCAUUGUUAAUGUUUUUGAUAUUCAUGACCUUUCUAACUAUUUUGAAGCACAAAAUAUAAUUAGAUUUGCUUUCAUCAAUUAUUGGGGCUUUUAAAAUGACAUUGUUAUAAAUUGGUGAGAACUUUAUAAUUUUGAUAGCUUCACUAGUAUAUACAUAAUAGAUAACUGUUGUAAUUUUAGUAUUAAGACUUGAAUAAAUAAUUAUUUUUUAAUAUAGUUUUUGUAUGAAGAAGUUUCUUAAUAUGACCUUGAUUCUUAGAAAUUGAAAAAUACUUUGUUUAGUUAUUUACUAGUAUUGAUUAUGUUGUAAUUAUAGAAGAACAUGAGUGAUGAUCGAAGCUGGAUAUAUCAAAAGCUAAUAAAUGGCCUUCUCAAUCCUAAGUUUGUUGAUAGUAUUGACAAAUUCAUUGAUUUUACAUGUACUCGUCUAGAAUAGAUGGACAAAGAAAAAAUAAAGUGUCCAUAUCCAUGCAAUAAGUGUUAGAAUCGUUAGUACUUAGAUGUUGAGACGAUGAAAUUACAUUUUCUGAGAUAUGGCUUCUUAUCGGAAUAUUAUGUAUGGACAAGACAUAGGGAGACAGAGGCAAGGACCCUUCAGCCAGUUUUUUUCAUUUGAGGAACUUGAAAUAAUGGUUAACAACUAGUAGUAGACAAUAGUGAUGGAUGCUGCUGGACCUUUAUUGAAUCCGAAUUUCGAUGGGCAAGAAAAUCCUAAUAUCGUGGCACAAGAAUUCUAUGAUAUGCUAAAUGUAGCAGAUAAUCUGUUGUGUCCCGAUUGUCAAACCCAUUCACAGUUAUCUCUAGUUUCUAGAAUGCUGAAUAUCAAGGCUGAUCACUAUUUGUUAGAGCAUGCUUUUGAUGCAUUUGCUCAAGUAAUCAAAUAGGACGUGCCGAAAGACAAUCUUGCCACUGAAAACUUUUAUGAUACGAAGCGCUUGGUUCUCGAGUUGGGAUUACCAAUAGAGAAGAAGCAUUGCUGUUUUAAUGGCUGCUUGUUUUAUUGCGAGGAAGAUGUGAACUUAACUCUGUACAAGAUUGGUGGCCAUCAACGUUACAAAAGAUGGCAUGCCACUGAAAGCAGUCAAAGAAGGAAAAAAAUGUAUUACUUUCCUUUGACACAACGUCUUCUUAGAUUAUACGCUUCAAAAGCAACUGCUAAUGAAAUGAGGUGGCAUAUAGAGCAUGAGGUUGAGGACGGUGUAAUGCAACAUCCUUUAGGUUGCUUGAAAGCAUUUUAAUAAUGUUCAUCUUGAUGUCUCUUUUGAAAUCAGAAAUGUCCAUCUUGGCCUCUACAUAGAUGGAUUCCAACCUUUUAGACAGUUCGGUCAAUAAUACUUAUGCUGGUCAGUGAUAGUGAUAGUGUAUAAUCUACCCUCUUGGAUAUGUAUGAAAGGGACAUUGAUGUUUUCAAUCCUUAUUCUAGGACCUCGAAUCCUAAAACACAUGAUAGAUGUGUAUUUGUAGCCAUUGAUUAGUGAAUUAAAGUAGUUGUAGGACUAGGGGGUUCAAGCAUUUGACAUUUCUUGGAAUUAAAACUUUUAAUUAUAAGCAGUCUUAAUAUGGAGAAUGAACGACUUCCUCGCAUAUGCAAUGUUGUUAAGUUGGUCCACCACCGACCGUUUGGCUUAUCCUUAUUGCAUGGAGGACUCUGAUGCCUUUACCCUAAGUAAGAGUGGUAAGCAGUCACAGUUUGACAAUCACAGGAAGUUCUUAGAUACUGAUCAUCCUUUUAGAAGGAAUAGGUAUAGAUUUCAAAAAAAUCAAACUGCAACAAAAGUUAGAUCCCUAGUUAGAUUGAGAAAAGAAACAUUAGGUAUGCUUGAUGAUAUCAGAAUGAAAAAGGUAACAGAUGUAGAUAUGCUGAUGUAACGAAUGAUCCACUAAGUAAAUCAUGGGGCUGGAAAAAAUGAAGCAUCUUUUGGGAUUUGCCCUACUGGAGCUCCAAUCUAAUUCAGCAUGAUCUCCUUGAUAUUACACAUGUUUGCAUGCUUAAUUUUAAGUUUUUUAAGGCAAAUAAUGUGUUUUUGUAUUAAAAUCACCCUGUUUUAGUUUCCUUUAUGUCUCAAGUGUUUUUCUAGGUAUAUCAUCAAAGUUAGAGAGAAAUCAAACCAAAAUCGGAAAGAAACAGACGAAUCGGGUACGUUAGACUGUUCAACACUCCUUUCCAACACACCCGUGCUGAGGAGCACGGUCAGGGUCAGAGGGCAUGCAGAAAUGCCUUACCCUGGCAAGAAGAAGCAAUUUGCAACACGGUUUCCGAGAGUGACACAGGCAUAAUAGCAUGCCCGUGGUGAGCAGCACGGCCCAAUUCUACAUCAUGCUGAAGAAGGCCAGAUGUACAAUUUUAGCUUAACACAACAAGGAUCCAGGCCGUGCUGGUCAGCAGGGCCCAAAUCCAAGCUGUGUUGGAUUUUGAAAUCUAAUUUAAAAGAAAAGAAAAAGAAAGCAAAAAGGGAUAUCGAGGGAUUCUAGAGAGAGAAAUUUGGAGUAUUUAAGACAGACUUUGAGAGCAACCUUCCAGAUGAUCAAGAAGAGAAAAACAAAGACGAAUCCAUUUUAACAUCAUCCAAAUAGUUGUUUUUGAGGAUUGGAUUGAAGAUUCAAAGGAAAGAAGAUGGAGAUCUUGAGCUGUAGAGAUUGGAUCCAGAGUUAUUCAAAAGGGGAUAGCAUUUCCACCAUUUGAGAAAAGAGUGUUCAUGUUCUUUUCGAUUCUUAUUUAUUUUGUAUUUGAUUCUUGUAUUAGUUUAAUUAUGAACAUGUAUAACUAAUCUUAUUAAACCCAUUUAGGAGUGAUCUUUAGCUAUGCUAGGCUUGUUUUAGGCUUAAAUGAUUGGAUUGUUGAUUUAAGAUUGUAGUUUUCAUUCAAGUAUAACACAAUCUAUUGUUUCUUCUUCAUUGUUGAAUCAAUUUUAGAAAUCCUUUGUAAUUGAGAAAUUUAAUUGAGUUUGGACAACUGCUAGUAUGAUUAAGUGAUUUACAUCUUAGAGAUAAGUGUCAUAACUUACUAGAAUAAGAACUAGACAGUCUUAUUAGUGGUAAUUUAGAGAUUAAUGCUAUUCUAAAAUCAAUUAUUAGGAAGAAAUUCCAACUUUAGAUCUUUAGUAUUAGAAAUUGGUUAGCUCGAGAGAGAGGCCAAUUCAUUUAAGAAAUUAUCCACAGAUCAUAAAUCUUAAUCAAUCAAUUCAUAAUUUAUUGUUUUUAAGCCAGCUAGCUAAAAGGAUCCCAAUUGAGUUAAUUCAUCUCAUUGUCUUUUUUAAAGUUUCAUUCUCUUUGUUAAAAUUUAGUAUUCAUUUGCAUUCUCAAUCAUUUUUAGUUAAUGAUUUUCACCAUCUUUUGAUCGGUUAGAUAAUAGGAAUAGCAUAGUAGUAGUAGCUUUUCAAUUUCCGUAGGAUAUGACAUUGAUACUUACCAUAGCUAGAUUACAUUUAAUAGGUGCACUUGCCUAUAGAUUACUAAUCGUGUUUAGCCAGCAUCAAAAUACAACCUUGUUGUUAUGCAUAUUAAGAAACACUUUUUGGACAAUGUCUUUAACACAGUGUUGAACAUACUUGACAAAACAAAGGACACUUUGAAGUCUAGGAAAGAAUUAAAUGAGUAUUAUUGGAGGCUGGAUCUUGGAAAGUCUUUAUUAACUGGUAAAUACCCAAAGGCUUGCUACACACUUGAUAGGGAAGCUAAAUUAGUUUUGUUCGAAUGCCUUAAAAAGUUGAAAUUCCCUGAUGGAUAUGUGUUAAAUAUGGGAAGAUGUGUGGAUAUGAAAAGGUUGAGGUUGUUUGGAAUGAAAAUCCACAACUGCCAUGUCUUCAUGCAGAGGUUAAUGCUUAUUGCCUUCCGUGAACUAUUGCUAGGGAAUUUAUGGAGGGCUCUAAUUGAGUUGAGCUUAUUUUUUAAGACUUUAACUGCAACAGUCAUUACGAAUGAAGAUAUAUCUACACUUGAAGCUGAGAUCUCAAUUAUCCUAUGCAAGCUUGAGAGAAUUUUCUGUCCAAGUUUCUUUGAUUCUAUGGAACAUUUUGCCAGUCACUUACCACACAAGGCUUGCCUUAUUAGACCUGUUCACUUUCAGUGGAUGUACCUAUUCGGGAGGUUUGAAAGAUCAUUAUAAUCUUUUUAAUAUUCUAAUGUAUCCUUUCAUUUUAUAUUGGCGUGCUAACUUUGUAGGGAUCUUCGGAAGUACAAGAAGAAUGUGAGAAAUAAGGCACAAGUGGAAAGCUCAAUAUACAAUGCCUAUUUAGUAGAGGAGGUGUAUGCUUUCUGCUCGUACUACUUUGAGGAUCAUGUGGCAGCAAAAGUAAGAACUAUGCCUCGCUAUUAUGACGGUGGGGGUUGAGAUGAUAAACCAAUUUAUGAAGGAAAUCUUUCAAUUUUCAAAUACAUUGGUAGAUCAUUUGGCCAUUCAAGAACAAGACAUAUGACACUAGAAUAAUAUAAGGCUGCUUAGUCAUACAUUUUCUUUAAUUAAAAAGAAGUAGAUCCAUUUGUGGGGUUAGAAUUCUAUUUUUAUGAAAGACUUAAUAACUGACAUACAAUUUUCUUAAUAAUAUCAUCUAACAGUACACUUUAUAGUAUUUACAUGGAUAUAUUACAGUAACAUAGUUUAAACAUUACGAAUGAAGAAGUGGAUGAAGUACUUGAAGUGGACUUCCCUAUAUGGUUCAAAGCAUACGUGAGUCUUCUUCUUCUAGCAAUGUUUGUCAAUAAAAUGAAUGUUUUUUAAUACAUUAACUGAAUAUAUUUUUAGUCUUUCAAGUACACGAUCCAUCAAGCAAUAUUCAUAAUAAUUUUCUCAAGGAUCUCGCAAAAGAACCUUUGACUACUAUUACAACAUUCCUAGGGUAUUUUGUAAAUGGUUAUAAAUUUCACACGAUAGAGCAUGGUUCAAUAAGAGGUUCAAUGAAUAGUGGGGUAUGCAUCAAAGGCUAAAAUUAUAGUGUUUCCGAGAAUGAUUUCUACGGUCAGCUAAUUGAGGUUGUCCUUAUUGAAUAUUUGUGGGUGGCGGUUUAAGACGCACACCUAAGUGUCUUUAGCGACUACGACAUUGUAAGGCUUUUCAAUCUAAUCAGAAACACACUAACUAAUCAAUGAGACUAGCAUGGUGAUGGGAGUCGCUAUCCUGAUAAUCAUUGGAACACUUUUACUAAUGAGUAGCGUUUCUCAGAUUCUGUAAGGAAGCUUACGCCACAAAUUCAGAGAUGGAUUUAUAAGCCAACUUCCUUAUUUGUGUACAUUAGUCUUUAAUUUUAUUAAUUAACAAAUUAUUCCCUAUAAAUUCAUGCAAUUUAGACACAGGCAUGCCAAAAUAACACACAUAAUUCACCUAAGUCUAGCCCAUUUUAUUCAAGCUAAGCCUUUGUUAGAGUUAUUAGUCUAAUUUACUAGUUAAUUAUGUAUAUAGCCCACCUAAUCUAGCCCAAUUACAUAUUAUGGUUUUGAUUUCCAGUCUUUAGACCUAAUGGACUACUUAUUAUGAUAAAGCUCGUUCUAUGUGGACCUAAUUCUAAUAAAGCCCAAUUCUAACUAAAACAUGCUAAGUGCGGUAAGUUUACCUAGAUCUUAGAGUUUUAGGCCUAGUUAAUAUUGAUUAACCUAUUGGACUAUAAUAUUUAUGUUGGCUACAGUUUUAACCCUAAGUCUAUGUGGCCCAUUUUAAUUAAUAAAUCACAUAAACAUAUAUUUGAUAAUUAUAUAGUAAGCAAAAUAAACAAUAUAAAGGUAGAAAAACAAACCUAAUUAUUACAACUCUGCCUACAACUAAAUUGUGAAAGAAAAAGACCUAAAAACUAAUAUAGAAUGUCAGAAUAUAUUAAAAUCGUCCAAAAGCCAAAAAAUUGGGACUGAGCCUUGCAUAACCGAUCGACUCAACACAGAGCCAAUUGGCUUUGCAUUGAGCCGAUCGGCUCAAGGGUUCCCGGCAGGCUUUCUGCCGAUUCUCCAGAGCUGAAUUUCACAUGCACAGUGAAUAAAAUUAAUUAGAUAUAAAAGAAAAUAAAAAUAAAGAUAAAAGCAACAUGAUCAAUCAAACGAUUAAAAAUAUCCUAAAACUGAUAAAAACCCUAAAAUCUAAAAGUAUAGUAAUUACUAAAUCAUGCAAUCCUAUUAGAAAUGUUUAAUUAGUAAAUCAUAAUAGAAAUAUAAAUAUGAUCAUUAAUACUAUUGCAUGCAUCUAAUCAUAUUUAAAAUCCUAAUUGGAAAAAUUAUUAAAUUUAAAAACCCUAGAGUUCUUAUUAUUAGAUUCAAAACCGAAUUAACAUGCAAAUCUACAAAAACCCUAAUCUAAUCAUAGUGAUCAUAAAUAAUAACCCUAAUCAUGUUUCUAAAAAUAAAUAACAAAACGUGUAAUACCCGAAAUUUUUAUAUAUUUAAUAAUGAGUUUCUAUUUAAGUUAAUUUUAGCUUUAUUUUUAUUUGGUUUAAUUUGAAAUGUUUUAAUGGAAAUUUGUGAGUUUGGUAUUUUUGUAAAUAAAUAUGUCGGUCAGGGGUAUUUAUGUAAUUGUGUAUUUUCAAUAAUUCUAAUUUGGCCCAAAUUGAAUAGUUAGGGGCUAAAUUGAAAGGCUAAAAAGAAGUUUAGAGGUUAAAUUGGAAUUUUGUAGGAUGGAAUUGUAAGUAAUUAAGAAAGUUGAGGGACCAAAUUGUGAUAAGGAAAAGUUUGGGGGCUUAAUGUCGAUAUUGAAAGAAAGAAAGAAGGAUUAGGGAGAAAGAAGCGGGGAGAGAGAAGCGGGGAGAGAGAGGGAGACGUCGGGAAGAGGAAGGAAGAGGCGGCGGCGUCGUCCAUCGGGGCACGCGGCGAGGCCGGCCGAGGGCGCUGCUGGCGCCGGCGAGUCUAGCAGCGGUGGCGGCGGCGUUAGCAGCGAGGAGAAAUAAAAAAGAGAGGCAGCGGCUUUCGAAGGCCGUUCCGGUCGUUUCCGGCCGAUCUUGGUGGCGAUCGGCUCCCCUCGAAGAGAGCUUCAUUUUGGCGGUGGCGGCGUCAGUUUUGGUGGCCGGAGGAGGGAGUUCUAAAGAAGUGGAGGCAGCCGACGUUUUUGGGUUUUUUCGGCGAGCUCCGAUGAGCUAUGGACGAUCAGAGGACAUAUCCCGACUCUCCUUAGCUCAAGCUUCACAAUGGCACCGGUUUCGUGGCGAUCGGGUUUCAUUUUCAAAUCGACGGUCGAGAUCGUCCGCAAAUCUCUCCAGACGAUCGGGUGUCAGAUCGGAAAGUCGGAAGCGAGGAUCGUCAUCAGCGCGUCGUUUCGAGUCCGAUGGUGAGCUCGUAUCGUCGAUCGGACUCCGACGGCUGGAGGCGAGUCGACCGAGCUAUCAAGCAUCUCGGUAAUUUUUCUUUGGCCUGUAAUUUUGGAAAUUCUAGGUUUAAUUGUGUGUCUAUUGGAUUAUAUUGAGUAUUUGAUGAUAUUUGUGAGUUAAAAAUAAUUGUCUGUCAGUUUGCCUGCCUCGUGUUUUGUAUUGUGGCGGAGUCGGGAAAAUAGUGAAGUUUGGGGACCCGACUCCUGUUGUUUAAAUUGUUGGAUAUUUGAAGUGUUUUUCUGGUAGGUCCUGGACCCGUUUUUACGGGGGUAAUGUCCGUGUUGUAGGGGAGGUUCUGCCGAAUUUUCGGUAGCAUUCUCCCUAGUCAAGAUUCUUAGACAGUCAGUCCUAGGAGUCUAGACCUAGGAUUAAUGAUCGAUUGUUUCAGCGUUUUGAUAAAUUGUUUUCCGUGACUAGAUUGUCCGUUUGUUUGGCUCGCUCCAACCGAGGCACCGGAGCAGAGCUAGGAGGUCGCCUAAUUCUGUGAAUUAAAGUCAUUUAAUCAUUGCACUAUUGCUAAGUCUGAUUUUAAUAUGCUAUUUUAGAAUUUGUGCUUAAUAUGAUUAUUAGUAUCGCAAAAUAAAUGAUUUCACUUGAUUAUUAAUUAUUGAAAUAAUAUAAAUAUUAUUAUUAGUAACGUUAUAAUAAUACAAACGUUAUUAUUUUCCCUCACGAAUUGCACGUUGUUUUACCCUAAAUCUUUAAUCUUUAUUUCGAUAUGUGUUGGAUGAUUUCAUUAGACAAUGAUAUUUAUUAUAUGUGAUGAUUUCAAUUUGGGGAUGUGGCUUUCGUAAAACAUGCCACCUGAUGGGUUACAUCAGGACCGCGUGCGCACCGGUAAUGAUCAUGGACGGGUAAUAAGAUUUUUAUGAGUUCACCCUGGUCGAGCAUGGCUCUCUGGGCUGAUUUGAGUAAAUUGCGGUAAUAAGAUUAUUAUGAGUUUUGCCCUGGUCGAGCAUGGCUUUCUGGGCUGAUUUGAGUGAGAUGCCGGAGUAAAGGACCCUGGUCGAGCUUCGCUCUCUGGGCGCCAGUCCUAUUGGAAUGAGAUGCCGGAGUAAAGGUCCCUGGUCGAGCAUUGCUCUUUGGUCGCCGGCUUGGCUUAUUUGGAUACUUAAGUGACCAGACUGGAGGUAAGGUCCCUGGUCGAGCAUUGCUCUCUAGGCGCUAGUCUUAUUGGAUUAAGAGAGCCAAAAUGGCUACUAGAAUUUGGGGUUAGGGUUCUACUGAGCCACUCGUCCCGUAAAAGUAAAAAUAUAUUUUUAUUUAUUCAUUUAUUUAUUUAUUAUGGUAUGAUUAUAAUAUGGGUUGUAUUUACGUGCAUGGUUGAUAUAUUGAUUCGAAUGAUUAAUAUUUUCUGUGAAGAAAGCAAUAGGGUAUGAUUAUAAUAUGGGUUGUAUUUACAUGCAUGGUUGAUAUAUUGAUUCGAAUGAUUGAUAUUUUCUGUGAAGAAAGUAAUAGGGUAAUGAUUAUAAUAUGGGUUGUAUUUACGUGCAUGGUUGAUAUAUUGAUUCGAAUGAUUAAUAUUUUCUGUGAAGAAAGUAAUAGUCUCUAGAUUAUUUGAUUUUAACUCACUCUCGAGAGUGACAGUCUCCAUUUACUGUUUUUCAGAUUUGUGACUGUUGGCCUUCCCGCGACUCUUAUUCAGUAACCCGACUCCUUCAUCAUCGGGUGGUGUUUGUAUUGGUAUGUCAAAUUGUAAAAAAAAAAAAAGAAUCUUAGAUCCUCCGCAGUAGUAAUAGUAGGGACAUCAGUGGUAAAUUUUCUGUAUUUCCGAG
RNAcentral lists this long non-coding RNA (13640 nucleotides) under Ricinus communis (castor bean). RNAcentral describes it as "long non-coding RNA (RCOM_LNC001541)". Lineage: Eukaryota; Viridiplantae; Streptophyta; Magnoliopsida; Malpighiales; Euphorbiaceae. The record is from RNAcentral.